GACGAACGCUGGCGGCGUGCCUAAUACAUGCAAGUAGAACGCUGAAGGAGGAGCUUGCUUCUCUGGAUGAGUUGCGAACGGGUGAGUAACGCGUAGGUAACCUGCCUGGUAGCGGGGGAUAACUAUUGGAAACGAUAGCUAAUACCGCAUAAUAUUGACUAUUGCAUGAUAGUCAGUUGAAAGGUGCAACUGCACCACUACCAGAUGGACCUGCGUUGUAUUAGCUAGUUGGUGGGGUAACGGCUCACCAAGGCGACGAUACAUAGCCGACCUGAGAGGGUGAUCGGCCACACUGGGACUGAGACACGGCCCAGACUCCUACGGGAGGCAGCAGUAGGGAAUCUUCGGCAAUGGACGGAAGUCUGACCGAGCAACGCCGCGGGAGUGAAGAAGGGUUUCGGAUCGUAAAGCUCUGUUGUAAGAGAAGAACGAGUGUGAGAGUGGAAAGCUCACACUGUGACGGUAUCUUACCAGAAAGAGACGGCUAACUACGUG
This 495-nucleotide ribosomal RNA is filed under the name uncultured bacterium. Its description in RNAcentral is "partial 16S ribosomal RNA". It matches the Rfam family "Bacterial small subunit ribosomal RNA", at positions 28 to 507 of the family's 1533-position model. The record is from RNAcentral.